Molecule: ribosomal RNA, 253 nt
Filed under: uncultured bacterium
Lineage: Bacteria
Description: partial 16S ribosomal RNA
Rfam family: Bacterial small subunit ribosomal RNA
Source: RNAcentral
GACGAACCGUGCAAACGUUGUUCGGAAUCACUGGGCUUAAAGGGCGCGUAGGCGGCUUGCCAAGUCAGGGGUGAAAUCUUUCGGCUUAACCGGAAAAGUGCCUUUGAUACUGGCGAGCUAGAGGGAGGUAGGGGCAUGUGGAACUUCCGGUGGAGCGGUGAAAUGCGUUGAUAUCGGAAGGAACGCCGGUGGCGAAAGCGACGUGCUGGAUCUCUUCUGACGCUGAGGCGCGAAAGCUAGGGGAGCGAACGGG